GACGAACGCUGGCGGCGUGCCUAAUACAUGCAAGUAGAACGCUGAAGAGAGGAGCUUGCUCUUCUUGGAUGAGUUGCGAACGGGUGAGUAACGCGUAGGUAACCUGCCUGGUAGCGGGGGAUAACUAUUGGAAACGAUAGCUAAUACCGCAUAAAAUUGAUUAUUGCAUGAUAAUUAAUUGAAAGAUGCAAUUGCAUCACUACCAGAUGGACCUGCGUUGUAUUAGCUAGUUGGUGAGGUAACAGCUCACCAAGGCGACGAUACAUAGCCGACCUGAGAGGGUGAUCGGCCACACUGGGACUGAGACACGGCCCAGACUCCUACGGGAGGCAGCAGUAGGGAAUCUUCGGCAAUGGGGGGAACCCUGACCGAGCAACGCCGCGUGAGUGAAGAAGGUUUUCGGAUCGUAAAGCUCUGUUGUAAGAGAAGAACGGGUGUGAGAGUGGAAAGUUCACACUGUGACGGUAUCUUACCAGAAAGGGACGGCUAACUACGUGCCAGCAGCCGCGGUAAUACGUAGGUCCCGAGCGUUGUCCGGAUUUAUUGGGCGUAAAGCGAGCGCAGGCGGUUAGAUAAGUCUGAAGUUAAAGGCUGUGGCUUAACCAUAGUAUGCUUUGGAAACUGUUUAACUUGAGUGCAGAAGGGGAGAGUGGAAUUCCAUGUGUAGCGGUGAAAUGCGUAGAUAUAUGGAGGAACACCGGUGGCGAAAGCGGCUCUCUGGUCUGUAACUGACGCUGAGGCUCGAAAGCGUGGGGAGCAAACAGGAUUAGAUACCCUGGUAGUCCACGCCGUAAACGAUGAGUGCUAGGUGUUAGGCCCUUUCCGGGGCUUAGUGCCGCAGCUAACGCAUUAAGCACUCCGCCUGGGGAGUACGACCGCAAGGUUGAAACUCAAAGGAAUUGACGGGGGCCCGCACAAGCGGUGGAGCAUGUGGUUUAAUCCGAAGCAACGCGAAGAACCUUACCAGGUCUUGACAUCCCUCUGACCGCUCUAGAGGUAGAGUUUUCCUUCGGGACAGAGGUGACAGGUGGUGCAUGGUUGUCGUCAGCUCGUGUCGUGAGAUGUUGGGUUAAGUCCCGCAACGAGCGCAACCCCUAUUGUUAGUUGCCAUCAUUCAGUUGGGCACUCUAGCGAGACUGCCGGUAAUAAACCGGAGGAAGGUGGGGAUGACGUCAAAUCAUCGUGCCCCUUAUGACCUGGGCUACACACGUGCUACAAUGGCUGGUACAACGAGUCGCAGGCCGGUGACGGCAAGCUAAUCUCUGAAAGCCAGUCUCAGUUCGGAUUGUAGGCUGCAACUCGCCUACAUGAAGUCGGAAUCGCUAGUAAUCGCGGAUCAGCACGCCGCGGUGAAUACGUUCCCGGGCCU
Molecule: ribosomal RNA, 1369 nt
Filed under: uncultured bacterium
Lineage: Bacteria
Description: bacterial SSU rRNA
Rfam family: Bacterial small subunit ribosomal RNA
Source: RNAcentral